RNAcentral lists this long non-coding RNA (1258 nucleotides) under Setaria viridis. Its description in RNAcentral is "long non-coding RNA (SVIR_LNC003157)". Lineage: Eukaryota; Viridiplantae; Streptophyta; Magnoliopsida; Poales; Poaceae. The record is from RNAcentral.
GGACUAAUAAUUUUAUCAAGUGAUUAACAGGUUUUAAUUAUAAAGAAGUGCAAAGGUGUCUGAAAGGAAUCUUAGGAAACUCCUAACUUCAAAGAAAGAAUGGUGUUGAGCUCAAAAGAAGACUCAUUCAUAAUUUCUAAUUUUAAAUUUGAGUAUAGGAACGCCGUACUAUUAAGGGGGAUGCGGAUGGAUAGCUUCAAGAUGCUAAAGUGCUCAAUUGAAGAUGCAAACCACCUAGUGAGAGAUACAAUUCACUCACUUGCACAUCCUUUACCUUAGUUUUUCUAUGAGUGUCAGAAGUUCCGACGGGGUGUCGGAAGUUCCGUCACUAGACGAAAGUAUUCAGAAACUCCUGACUAGGGUCCUCUGCCGAUUUAUUUUGAAAGUAUCGGAAGUUACGACACUCCAUCGGAAGUUCCGAUAAUUAAUGAUCAGAUAUUUGUUGAAACUCCUGAUAGUGGUCCUCUGCCAUUUGACUUAAACAUAAAUGUACUAUAACGGCUAGUUUUGGAGGCUUAGGUAUAAAUACCCCCUUAGCCCCCCCCCCUCAUUCAUUGUUGCUAACCUACCCAAGCAAGAACACCUCUUUGAGCAUUAAAUACUCCCUUCCCUCUCCCCUUUGAGCUAAAUCUUUGAGAGUUUAAGCUAGGGUUUGGGUGAGAGCAGGAUUGAGGGUGUGAGACUUGAGGUUUUGAGGGUGAGGUUCAACUUGUUCAUCUCAAGAGCACUCCAAGCAUCCUCGGCUUCGAUUCGUGUUUGUUACUCUUGAAGCUUGCUUCUAGACGGCUAGGCGUCGCCCGUUUGAGCGCCCUCCUUGUGUGGUGCGCCUGGGAACGUUUGUAUUACCCAUCCUUCAUGGAUUCAUAGUAAUUCACUCAAUCCUCCUUUGUGGUUGAUUGAGGAAGGUAAAGGGUUAGUGAGGACCCGGCUCUUUGUGAGCUCCUCAACGGAGAUGUAGCUCCCUUUGUGGAAGUGAACUUCGGUAAACAAAUCCUUAUCUCUUGUGCUUGUUGUGUUCUUCGAUUUCUUUUUGACCUAGAAGCUUGUUUUGGGCCGAUCUAUAAAUUUGUGUAGUUACUUGCUUAUCUAUCACCUACAGUAGUCCCUACACUUCAUUUACAAUCUUUUGUUUCAAAUAGAAUUGGCAGAUUCAGGUUGCAUUUUGAAUUUCGUUCAGCUCACUCUAUAUUGUUGGAAGUUCCGAUCCUGUACCGGAAGUUCCCAUCCAUCGAAAGUUCCGGCACAGUGUCGGAAGUUC